This 387-nucleotide ribosomal RNA is filed under the name uncultured bacterium. RNAcentral describes it as "bacterial SSU rRNA". It matches the Rfam family "Bacterial small subunit ribosomal RNA", at positions 28 to 417 of the family's 1533-position model. The record is from RNAcentral.
GACGAACGCUGGCGGCGUGCUUAACACAUGCAAGUCGAGCGGAAAGGCUCCUUCGGGGGUACUCGAGCGGCGAACGGGUGAGUAACACGUGAGUAAUCUGCCCUUGGCUUCGGGAUAACUACCGGAAACGGUGGCUAAUACCGGAUACGACCAAUCACUGCAUGGUGUGUUGGUGGAAAGUUUUUUCGGCCAGGGAUGUGCUCGCGGCCUAUCAGCUUGUUGGUGGGGUAAUGGCCUACCAAGGCUUCGACGGGUAGCCGGCCUGAGAGGGUGACCGGCCACACUGGGACUGAGACACGGCCCAGACUCCUACGGGAGGCAGCAGUGGGGAAUAUUGGACAAUGGGCGAAGCCUGAUCCAGCAACGCCGCGUGAGGGAUGACGGCCU